UACGUAGGGUGCGAGCGUUAAUCGGAAUUACUGGGCGUAAAGCGUGCGUAGGCGGUUCGUUAAGUUCGUUGUGAAAGCCCCGGGCUCAACCUGGGAACUGCAAUGGAAACUGGCGGGCUUGAGUGUGGCAGAGGGGGGUGGAAUUCCGCGUGUAGCAGUGAAAUGCGUAGAUAUGCGGAGGAACACCGAUGGCGAAGGCAAUCCCCUGGGCCUGCACCGACGCUCAGGCACGAAAGCAUGGGGAGCAAAAGGG
This 253-nucleotide ribosomal RNA is filed under the name uncultured bacterium. RNAcentral's name for it is "partial 16S ribosomal RNA". It matches the Rfam family "Bacterial small subunit ribosomal RNA", at positions 524 to 776 of the family's 1533-position model. The record is from RNAcentral.